GCGUUUAUGAUGACAAACAUACAUCAUGAAGAGAGAUCGUGUCAUAAAAUUCAUGACCAAAGAAUAAUGCUGAGGCCC
This is a small nucleolar RNA of Onychomys torridus (southern grasshopper mouse), 78 nucleotides long. RefSeq annotates it as small nucleolar RNA SNORD115. NCBI's taxonomy places the organism in Eukaryota, Metazoa, Chordata, Mammalia, Rodentia, Cricetidae. The transcript has a single exon. The record is from RefSeq and is a predicted model, not a curated record.